GGCGGGAUUUCGCCGUCUUCGUUUCUCUUUCUUCGCGGACGAACACGCGCCAGGGGCUGAGCGCUGUGCGAUGCAUCGACUUCACGUCGGGUGCGCGCCGGCAUGUCUCUCGUGUUAGGGGCUUGUAGCUCAGUUGGUUAGAGCGCGCGCUUGAUAAGCGUGAGGUCGGAAGUUCAAGUCUUCCCAGGCCCACCAUUUUGAUCGAGUGCGGAGCAUUCGUCUUCUGGUACGGGGCCAUAGCUCAGCUGGGAGAGCGCGUGCUUUGCAAGCAUGAGGUCGUCGGUUCGAUCCCGUCUGGCUCCACCAGAUGGUUUG
RNAcentral lists this transfer RNA (315 nucleotides) under Bradyrhizobium sp. TUTCT2A. Its description in RNAcentral is "partial 16S-23S ribosomal RNA intergenic spacer". The stretch from base 119 to 192 matches the Rfam family "tRNA". The record is from RNAcentral. Lineage: Bacteria; Pseudomonadati; Pseudomonadota; Alphaproteobacteria; Hyphomicrobiales; Nitrobacteraceae.